UCCGGAUUAGCUCCGGCAGUCCCACUAGAGUGCCAAACUUAAUUGGGGCAACUAGUAGUAAGGGUUGCGCUCGUUGCGUCACUUAAGACAACAUCUCACGACACGAGCUGACGACAGCCAUGCAGCACCUGUGUCUGGGUUCCAAAAGGCACUCCGCUAUCUCUAGCAGAUCCCCAGCAUGUCAAGAGCAGGUAAGGUUCUUCGCGUUGCAUCGAAUUAAUCCACAUCAUCCACCGCUUGUGCGGGUCCCCGUCAAUUCCUUUGAGUUUUAAUCUUGCGACCGUACUCCCCAGGCGGUCUACUUAUCGCGUUAGCUGCGCUACUCGUGUUUUACCACCAACAGCUAGUAGACAUCGUUUAGGGCGUGGACUAC
RNAcentral lists this unclassified non-coding RNA (373 nucleotides) under uncultured Gammaproteobacteria bacterium. RNAcentral describes it as "contains 16S-23S intergenic spacer region". Lineage: Bacteria; Pseudomonadati; Pseudomonadota; Gammaproteobacteria. The record is from RNAcentral.